RNAcentral lists this ribosomal RNA (252 nucleotides) under uncultured Odoribacter sp. RNAcentral describes it as "partial 16S ribosomal RNA". It matches the Rfam family "Bacterial small subunit ribosomal RNA", at positions 524 to 776 of the family's 1533-position model. Lineage: Bacteria; Pseudomonadati; Bacteroidota; Bacteroidia; Bacteroidales; Odoribacteraceae. The record is from RNAcentral.
UACGUAGGGAGCAAGCGUUGUCCGGAUUUAUUGGGUUUAAAGGGUGCGUAGGCGGUUUUUUAAGUUAGUGGUUAAACGUCGGGGCUUCACCUUGAUUUGCCAUUAAUACUGUAAGACUCGAGUUCAGACGAGGUAGGCGGAAUAAGUUAAGUAGCGGUGAAAUGCUUAGAUAUAACUUAGAACUCCGAUAGCGAAGGCAGCUUACCAGACUGCGACUGACGCUGAUGCGCGAAAGCGUGGGGAGCAAACAGG